UACGUAGGGACCAAGCGUUGUUCGGAUUUACUGGGCGUAAAGGGCGCGUAGGCGGCAAUUCAAGUCACUUGUGAAAUCUCUGAGCUUAACUCAGAACGGUCAAGUGAUACUGCUUUGCUAGAGUGCAGAAGGGGCAACCGGAAUUCUUGGUGUAGCGGUGAAAUGCGUAGAUAUCGAGAGGAACACCGGUGGCGAAGGCGGCCUUCUGGACAGUGACUGACGCUGAGACGCGAAAGCGUGGGGAGCAAACAGG
This 253-nucleotide ribosomal RNA is filed under the name uncultured bacterium. RNAcentral describes it as "partial 16S ribosomal RNA". It matches the Rfam family "Bacterial small subunit ribosomal RNA", at positions 524 to 776 of the family's 1533-position model. The record is from RNAcentral.